This 2370-nucleotide ribosomal RNA is filed under the name Pseudomonas aeruginosa. Its description in RNAcentral is "partial 23S ribosomal RNA". It matches the Rfam family "Bacterial large subunit ribosomal RNA", at positions 571 to 2925 of the family's 2925-position model. Lineage: Bacteria; Pseudomonadati; Pseudomonadota; Gammaproteobacteria; Pseudomonadales; Pseudomonadaceae. The record is from RNAcentral.
CAGUGGGAGCCUACUUGUUAGGUGACUGCGUACCUUUUGUAUAAUGGGUCAGCGACUUAUAUUCAGUGGCAAGCUUAACCGUAUAGGGUAGGCGUAGCGAAAGCGAGUCUUAAUAGGGCGUUUAGUCGCUGGGUAUAGACCCGAAACCGGGCGAUCUAUCCAUGAGCAGGUUGAAGGUUAGGUAACACUGACUGGAGGACCGAACCCACUCCCGUUGAAAAGGUAGGGGAUGACUUGUGGAUCGGAGUGAAAGGCUAAUCAAGCUCGGAGAUAGCUGGUUCUCCUCGAAAGCUAUUUAGGUAGCGCCUCAUGUAUCACUCUGGGGGGUAGAGCACUGUUUCGGCUAGGGGGUCAUCCCGACUUACCAAACCGAUGCAAACUCCGAAUACCCAGAAGUGCCGAGCAUGGGAGACACACGGCGGGUGCUAACGUCCGUCGUGAAAAGGGAAACAACCCAGACCGCCAGCUAAGGUCCCAAAGUUGUGGUUAAGUGGUAAACGAUGUGGGAAGGCUUAGACAGCUAGGAGGUUGGCUUAGAAGCAGCCAUCCUUUAAAGAAAGCGUAAUAGCUCACUAGUCGAGUCGGCCUGCGCGGAAGAUGUAACGGGGCUCAAACCACACACCGAAGCUGCGGGUGUCACGUAAGUGACGCGGUAGAGGAGCGUUCUGUAAGCCUGUGAAGGUGAGUUGAGAAGCUUGCUGGAGGUAUCAGAAGUGCGAAUGCUGACAUGAGUAACGACAAUGGGUGUGAAAAACACCCACGCCGAAAGACCAAGGGUUCCUGCGCAACGUUAAUCGACGCAGGGUUAGUCGGUUCCUAAGGCGAGGCUGAAAAGCGUAGUCGAUGGGAAACAGGUUAAUAUUCCUGUACUUCUGGUUACUGCGAUGGAGGGACGGAGAAGGCUAGGCCAGCUUGGCGUUGGUUGUCCAAGUUUAAGGUGGUAGGCUGAAAUCUUAGGUAAAUCCGGGGUUUCAAGGCCGAGAGCUGAUGACGAGUCGUCUUUUAGAUGACGAAGUGGUUGAUGCCAUGCUUCCAAGAAAAGCUUCUAAGCUUCAGGUAACCAGGAACCGUACCCCAAACCGACACAGGUGGUCGGGUAGAGAAUACCAAGGCGCUUGAGAGAACUCGGGUGAAGGAACUAGGCAAAAUGGCACCGUAACUUCGGGAGAAGGUGCGCCGGCUAGGGUGAAGGAUUUACUCCGUAAGCUCUGGCUGGUCGAAGAUACCAGGCCGCUGCGACUGUUUAUUAAAAACACAGCACUCUGCAAACACGAAAGUGGACGUAUAGGGUGUGACGCCUGCCCGGUGCCGGAAGGUUAAUUGAUGGGGUUAGCGCAAGCGAAGCUCUUGAUCGAAGCCCCGGUAAACGGCGGCCGUAACUAUAACGGUCCUAAGGUAGCGAAAUUCCUUGUCGGGUAAGUUCCGACCUGCACGAAUGGCGUAACGAUGGCGGCGCUGUCUCCACCCGAGACUCAGUGAAAUUGAAAUCGCUGUGAAGAUGCAGUGUAUCCGCGGCUAGACGGAAAGACCCCGUGAACCUUUACUGUAGCUUUGCACUGGACUUUGAGCCUGCUUGUGUAGGAUAGGUGGGAGGCUUUGAAGCGUGGACGCCAGUUCGCGUGGAGCCAUCCUUGAAAUACCACCCUGGCAUGCUUGAGGUUCUAACUCUGGUCCGUAAUCCGGAUCGAGGACAGUGUAUGGUGGGCAGUUUGACUGGGGCGGUCUCCUCCUAAAGAGUAACGGAGGAGUACGAAGGUGCGCUCAGACCGGUCGGAAAUCGGUCGCAGAGUAUAAAGGCAAAAGCGCGCUUGACUGCGAGACAGACACGUCGAGCAGGUACGAAAGUAGGUCUUAGUGAUCCGGUGGUUCUGUAUGGAAGGGCCAUCGCUCAACGGAUAAAAGGUACUCCGGGGAUAACAGGCUGAUACCGCCCAAGAGUUCAUAUCGACGGCGGUGUUUGGCACCUCGAUGUCGGCUCAUCACAUCCUGGGGCUGAAGCCGGUCCCAAGGGUAUGGCUGUUCGCCAUUUAAAGUGGUACGCGAGCUGGGUUUAGAACGUCGUGAGACAGUUCGGUCCCUAUCUGCCGUGGACGUUUGAGAUUUGAGAGGGGCUGCUCCUAGUACGAGAGGACCGGAGUGGACGAACCUCUGGUGUUCCGGUUGUCACGCCAGUGGCAUUGCCGGGUAGCUAUGUUCGGAAAAGAUAACCGCUGAAAGCAUCUAAGCGGGAAACUUGCCUCAAGAUGAGAUCUCACUGGGAACUUGAUUCCCCUGAAGGGCCGUCGAAGACUACGACGUUGAUAGGCUGGGUGUGUAAGCGUUGUGAGGCGUUGAGCUAACCAGUACUAAUUGCCCGUGAGGCUUGACCAU